UUCAUUCCAUUAAUUCAAGGUUCAAGAAACACAAAAUUAGACCAGUUUUGCUUCCAUUUCAAAAGUCAAUAAUAAAUUAUAUACGUGAUCAAUUAGCUAAAGGAAGCUUUACACACAUUCAAUGGUAAAUUUUUAUGAAGAAAAUAAACAUUUACUCUACCCAACCAUUGAAGAUCAUCAUACUCAAAUAACUAGUCUCGUGAUCCAUUCCUUUCACCCAACAUUCGAAGUAUGGUUUGUUCAAAUUCAAUGCACUUUUUCUCUUCUUCUCGCCUAACAUCUUCCAUUUUUUGAAGUAAUCCAUCAUUUUCCCUUGUAAGUUCAUUUAUCUUCUCACAAGUGAAGCGAAAUUCCUCUUUUAAAGUGAUAAAAUCAGCGUGUCCAUGGAAAACUAGGUGAACCCGAUGAGGUGCCUUCUUUGUGCAAAGAUUUUUCAUUGAAUACCAAGCUCCUACAAGCAACCACCUUUACGAGGACCUUGAGUUGCCUCACACCAUGCUUCAUGUCAAUUUCAAGCUAUGACACAUUUGAACCAUAUUUUUCAUGAAUGGUAUUGUCAUAUUUUACCUGUAAAGCAAGAAGUAGCUCAACUUUAUAAAGGAAAAAGGCGUGAAUUAUUGUAUAUUAGAAGUGAAACGAGUAACAUUGCGUACCAUAGUAGCUAACGCUACUGUCCUUGCCAAUGGCCAAAAUGCAGGCAGUCCAAAACCAUAAAAAUUGGAGGGUCAUUCAAGUCAAAACCACAAAAGCAUCUUUUGUGCAGCACCAAUCAAUUCUAAAUAGACGCUAAUUUACAUCAAAUAUCAAUGCCAAGCAAUCAAAAUGUAUUAAAUAAUGCUGUCAACAAAUCAUCCAAAUUUCUUUAGACCCAAGAUCAGAAUGGAUUAAAAUCCUUUUAGUGCUACAACAAUAUAUAACUUCAGUUAACUGAAAGAUACAAUAUAAAGCUCUUUAUUACACAUAUAUUAGACCCUAAGAAAACCAACAAUAUAUAGAAACAUGAUAGAACAAAUGACGUGGUGACACUCUUACUUCUAAGAAGUUUCGGAGUAACUUAAUGUACAUGAGUAAAUAAUGAGUUCAUGAAAACUCCAAGAAGGUAAUCAUGUUGGGAAUUUACUUAAACAUGCACAGCGGAAAAUAAAACAAAUUUCAAUUCCCACCACGGAUCUCUCUUGUGUUUAGAUAGAAACUAUGACAGAAACUGUACAUUUCUUUAAUUCUGCAAAACACCUUUGCUAUUAUUCUAUUCUACCAUUCUUAAUCUGCCAACCAUAGCUAUCUAAUUCUCUAGCCUCCAAUGGAAAUCCAUAUAGCGAACAAGAUUGAGAGAGAACUAGGGUUUACCUUUUUUGCGCUAGCAAGAACAAUGAAAAUUCUCUAUAAAU
RNAcentral lists this long non-coding RNA (1388 nucleotides) under Olea europaea subsp. europaea. The record is from RNAcentral. Lineage: Eukaryota; Viridiplantae; Streptophyta; Magnoliopsida; Lamiales; Oleaceae.